CAAAGAAAGUAGUUUUGAAAUGACCAAUUUGUUUUUCAUUAUUUCUGCUUUUUAUCAUCCAUCUUCUGUCUAUAACACAAACUACCUGAACAUGUGUCAUAUUUUGAAGAAUGAAAUAUUGCCAAUGCUCGAACUAAAAAGAAGAUCAACUGAAGGAGAUUUUUAAAUUGUUGUAAUUUUUGUCUUUUGGCAGGUGUUAAUAAAUAGUCAAAUGGAAGUCACUGGAAAUCUUUCUAAUCCUUUGGAGGUGUUUAUGAAGAAAAUACUGAGGACUAGGAAAUAGGCACCUGGAUUGACUCCUGGAUGGGAAUCAAAGUAUAUGACCAUCUCACUUUCUUCAUUGGUCCCUUUGGCGUGGCGACUGGAUUUAAAACAUGUACAGUAAGUUCUCCAGCUACAGCUUCUGUGGCAUCGAUUCUGUUCUCUCCCCAGCGUCUCUUGUUACACAGUUUUAGGUCUUCCCUGAGUCCUCUUUCUUCAUUUUCCAUCCUGCCUCCUCCUCUGGGCUGCACUGUGUAAAGUGCUCCCUCGCUGUCUCAGGUCAGCUGCUCAACCUCUCCAUAGAAUAUUGUUAAUUUCAAAGGUACCGCUUGUUUAUUUCUAGAAGUUCUAUUGACUUGAUAUUCAGUGUGCCUGUUCUUUUCUCAUAGUGUCUUAUGAUUCUUAUUAUUUUGUUUAUAUUACUGAGAUUUUAAACACACUUAUCUUCUUUCACUGUCAUUUUUCUAUUAUGCAGUGUAUUGGCAUAUUGAUCCUGCUGUUCGUUGUGUGUGAUCAAUCUGGUUUAUACUGUAUAUUCUCUCUCUCUCUCUCUCUCUCUGUCUCUCUGUCUCUCUCUCUCUCUCUCUCUCUCUCUCUGUCUCUCUCUCUCUCUCUCUUGUGUGUGUGCGUGUGUGUUCCAAUUUGGAUUGCCAUUUCGAGUAGAAUUUUAUCAGAAUUUCAUUUCUGCAAAUCCUGAGUGGCCUGGGCUAAGGUUAGGUCUUUCCAGAGGGGAUUUUGCAGUUUCCAAGAAUCUCUCCCUGGGAGCAAUUAUUUUGGUAAUUUUUCAGUGUUGGAGUACCAGACCCUGCAAGUAAAGGGCAGGGCCAUGGUAACAAAUUCUCAAAGGAGACUUCCCUUCUUUUAAACCUGUGCUAAUGAGCAGUUGUCUUUGAAUCUAAUAUUUGAUGAAAAAUGAAAUCUAUAUUAGUUUUCCAUUGCUGCUGUGUAAAUUUAAAAAUGUAUGGCUUCAAACAAAACAAAUUUGAAGGAAAGAAAGAGAAAGGGAAGGGGAGGGAAAGGGAACUGGAAAGCCAAAGGAAAGGGAGAGAGAGAGGAAAAAAAGAUGGUAGGAAGGAGACCCACAGACAAAAAAACAAACAUAAAUUUAUUAUUUCAAACGCUAUAGGUCAGAUGUCCAAAGAUGUGUCUCAGUGAGCUAAAACCAAGACAUCUAGAGGCCUGGCUGAUUCUGGAGGCUCUGGGGGGAAAUCCAGAGUCCUCUCUACCCGGGAGACUGUCCACGCUCCUAGACUGACCGCUCUGUCACUGGGGUUAGGGCGAAAGUCUUGUCUCUGGUGAGUCCCAGGGGACCAGGCUCAGCCACCAGGCCCAGAGAACCAGGCAGAAAAAAGGUUGGUAGAGGCAGGAAAGGAGCUUUAUUCUCCACAUGACCAAGCAGGGAUGGACAGUGUGCUAGUGACUUGCGAUCUGUCUUCAGAAGUGCUUGUGGCAAUCACAGAGUUGUGUAGGGAAAAAGAUGAGAGCCAGCAGUCGGGGUCUUCUUGAUGUGGCUGUGGUCUGGGGAUGAUCGCCUCAGGCCGGUGCAGAGCUCUGUUGGCAUCAGGAAGCCGCUGUAGCUUGGGGAAUGGUUCUGGUUCUUUGUCAUAAGAUGCUCUGCCGUUGGACAUGAUCCUGGGAUCCACAGUGACUGCAGAGAUGACGAUGCGAGGGAUCAGAAGGGGGCAAAAGAUCAAAAGGUAAGUGGAGUCAGAGAAACAAACAGGACUCAGGUCAGGCACUGGGCCCCUUCCUUUAGGGCCCCUUCAAAGCCAACAGUGAUGAGUUCAUUCUUUCUCACAUCGAAUUACUCGGACCUCUUUUGCCUUCUUCUUCCACUUUCAAGUGGACCUUUGUGGGGACAUCGGUACCACAGGAAUAACCCAGGUAACCUCAUUAUUACCUGGUCAGCUGGUGAGUGACCUUCCUUCUGUCCUCCACCUCAUUCCACUCUGCCUUGUGGUAACAUGGUCGCGGGUUCUAGAGAUUAGGCAAUGCGCAUCCCUCGGGAGCCGUUAUCCUGCUCCCCGUUAUCACACACAGCCCUUCGAGGGCAAAAGUGUGGGUAAGGAGCUUAGCUGUAACUUGCAAUCUUUUAGUAGUUGCCGGCCUCAAGGUAUUAAAACAUGACUCCAUGCAUUACAAAGCCAAAAACUUCAUCCUGUCCAGGAAAGCUGAUACACUUUUUCAUUAAGUUUCUUUUUUUUUUUCUUUUAUUGGGAAUUUCUUGUUCUUUUUUCACAAGCUCAGCUGUGAUUUAAAAGCAUACUUAUUAUGCUUACCUGGAGUUUCUAGGAGUUUGUAGUGUGAACAUUUAGACUCAUGAAGCUAACAAUAUGGCCAGAAAAAUAAAUCUCUGUUGUAAGUAUAUUUGUCCAAAAAAUAUAAAUAAUGGCCUGUUGUAGUCAGGGGUUGUACACAGAAAACAAUUCAGAUCGGGACAUGGAGUUUAUAAUAUUUUUAUAAUGGUCACCGGGAGUUAACACAAGAAAAUGCAGGAAAUCUAUCUGCAACACCAAAGACAUAGAUUAUUUAGUCAAGAGCCUAAACCCCAAAGCCCAAUGUCCCACGUGAGUCCAGAUAAAAACCCAGAGCUCAAGACAAUGACUCCCAUGAGUCCAACUGUAUGUCCAGAGCCCACAAGAAGGACUCACGCCAGUCUCUUUUACAGAUCCAUGCCGGGAAGACCCAAGGGUCAGCGGUGGAAGCCAGAAAGUCUGUGCCAGCAGGAUGAAGGAGCUGUGCUGGUGGGAUGAGGGUUCUACGCUGGAGCCGAGAAGUCACACUCACAACAAAGACCAGGACUGUCCUGAAAGGCACCACAGCUGUCCUCAGCGACACGGAGGCCCCAAACUCCUCCCACGACAAGCACAGUCAGCCUAAGCACAGGAUUUCAACCUGCGAUAAGGAUUAAAGAAGCAAUAAAACCGAUCACACAGCACGUGGCGGUCAUGUCCCUCCUUUCCUCACGUGGCUUUUCUCAUAUGAGUGAAGCCUGUGUGACUUGAGGGACCGAUACUGAACUGUGUCCUCCACUCCAGAUCUAAAGUCAUUGCUAGUGUUUGGGCAUCCCUGAGAAUUCACAUGCUGCCAGUAUGAUCUCCAAAAUGACAACAGUAGUGCCUCAAGGAAGGAAGAUAUUAACACGAAAAUACAGAGUGCUAAGGACCGAACCAGCAGGACGGGAGAUGUUAGAGGUCAAGCAGAGGACAAGAAGACUGCAAGGCACUAAGCACAACUGCUCCCCAUAUAACUCUGGUAUUCAUUCUGGAAUACCUGAACCCAGCACCGGCUGCGGUCAGAGACCUGAACGCCUCUGCUUCCAGAGGGAGAGAAGAGUCCAAGUUGUUUUGCAUACCAGGAGGAACUGCAGUGUUCAGAGGCCCAGUGUUGGUCAUUUUCUCACUGCUGAGAACAAUGUCUAACCCCCACAAUUUAAAGGAGGACAGGUUUACGGGUCCACUGGUUUAAGGCAGAAGCAUCAGGGGGAAGGGUCUGCCCCAGAGGAAAGCCAUUAUUGUCAUGGCAACGAGGUAGCAGAGAGGGAGGAGCUAAUUUGAUGAUGUGCCCUCUGGGUCACAAUCCCAGCGAAUCACCUCCAACCAGGUCCCACUCCCCAACCAAGUCAGCCAUAGUACCCUCAUGAACCAGUCACCUAAACACAUGAGACUUUGGGGGACAUUUCAGAUCCAAACCAUAACAGUCCUCCAAAUCAAGCCUGUUACCCACAUUCAUUAAAUAUAUGGGUUAAGUGCAGACUCUAAAAGUUGCACUUAACAAAGUUAAACUUUAUUUUCUUUAUGCAAUUUAACUUUGCUUUGGGUGUAAGGUAGGAUUAUGAAGAAAACUGUCUUUAAAGUUACAUGAGUACCCAUGUUUAUAACAGCACAAUUUGUAAUAGCUAAAUUUUGGAAGCAGCUUAUAAGUUUAUCGACAGAUAAAUGGACAGAGAAAAUGUGGUAUUUACACACAGUACAGUACUACUUUAUCAUAAAGAGAGGUAAACCAGUCAUUUGUAGGAAAAUGAGUGUGUCUUGAGACCAUAAUGUUAACCGGAGUAAAUCAGACACAGAAGCUUAAAUAUCACAUGGUUUCCCUUAGAGGAGAAACUCAAAGUACAAAUUAGGAGCAAAAUAAAAGAUAGAUAACAGGUGGUGGUGGUGGGAGGCCAGGGGAAUAUUUUUCAAGUUAUUUGCUUUGGGAGACUAUGGAUUUAUGCUAUCAGAGAUGUUAUUGCACAAGGCAUUCUUAAAACUAUUUUGAAUUUGCCUUAUGUAAUCUAUUAACAGGUGAUUUCUUACUGUUUUUUUUUUGUAGUUCUGUAUUACGUGUACCCUUACACCACUUUGUUUUGUUUUGUGUUUUUCUCUUUUUCCUUUUAAAUAAAAUUUUUUAAAAAAGUUUGAUAAGAUCAAAACCCCAUGUAUUUUAAGAGUAAAUUUGAAUUUUGAAACAGCCUAGGUUGUCACUGAGAGGGAAGCUUGAUGAAAAAGGGAACAGUAAUCACUACAUUAUUAAUAUUUUACAUCCAGUACUUACUGAGGUGACAAUAUUGGGCAUAUGAUAGGUUAAAUAUAAUGUAUUUUUAAAGUUAAUUUGACCUGGUCUUUUACUUUUUUAACAUGUCUGCUAGAACAAUUAAAACUGCUACCUGUGUUCUUCAUGUCAUGUAACUAUUGUGCAGUGCUAGCAUAUGCAAUUAUAAUUGCAUAUACAAGAAGUUAUUUAUGCAUAAAGAAUACCUGGAAAAUAUUUUUAAUAUUUAUCAAUAAAACUUUGCAAA
Cavia porcellus (domestic guinea pig) is the source of this 5041-nucleotide long non-coding RNA. RefSeq lists it as uncharacterized. The record is from RefSeq and is a predicted model, not a curated record. NCBI's taxonomy places the organism in Eukaryota, Metazoa, Chordata, Mammalia, Rodentia, Caviidae. The transcript has 4 exons.